This 267-nucleotide long non-coding RNA is filed under the name Coffea arabica (coffee). RNAcentral describes it as "long non-coding RNA (CARA_LNC002781)". Lineage: Eukaryota; Viridiplantae; Streptophyta; Magnoliopsida; Gentianales; Rubiaceae. The record is from RNAcentral.
GGCGAGGUAUUGAAGAACAAAUAUGCACAAGAACAAGACAAAGUGGAGUUCCGAAAGAAACCAGGGGCAUCACAUGGAGAAGUAUUGCAGAGAGGGAGUAAAUUACUUGACAAAGGAUGCAGCUGGAGGCUCGGAAAUGGCUUGAAGAUAAGAUUUUGGAGGGACAACUGGCUUUUGCAGAGGCCUCUUGGGGAGGAAGCAAUCAAUUAAUUAAGAUAUACUACCAAGAUCGUGAGAAGAAGAAGAAAGUUAAUGUCUACUGGGAAC